GAGGUGUGCUCAGAGCAGGGAGCCUGAAGAAUGCUUCUCUGUUUACAACACACCCAACAGGAAUGUGGGGUUAUUGUGACAAGGGGCACCAAAAAUUGUGGUUUCCCUAUGAACAAAUGCCCUACAUGU
This 129-nucleotide small nucleolar RNA is filed under the name Spermophilus dauricus (Daurian ground squirrel). RNAcentral describes it as "Small nucleolar RNA SNORA11 (ENSSDAG00000024053.1)". It matches the Rfam family "Small nucleolar RNA SNORA11". Rfam says of the family: U107 (SNORA11) is a member of the H/ACA class of snoRNAs that guide the sites of modification of uridines to pseudouridines. This snoRNA was identified by RT-PCR from blood cells and its expression confirmed by Northern blot analysis. Lineage: Eukaryota; Metazoa; Chordata; Mammalia; Rodentia; Sciuridae. The record is from Rfam by way of RNAcentral.